GAUUAACGCUGGCGGCGUGCAUAACACAUGCAAGUCGAACGAUGAAACUUAAAUGAUUUCUUCGGAAUGAACUUAAGUGGAUUAGUGGCGGACGGGUGAGUAACGCGUGAGUAACCUGCCUCACACAAGGGGAUAGCCGUUGGAAACGACGAAUAAUACCCUAUGAAACUAUCACUUCGCAUGAAGCGAUAGUCAAAGUGUAGCGGUGUAAGAUGGACUUGCGUCUGAUUAGCUAGUUGGUGAGAAAAAAGCCCACCAAGGCAACGAUCAGUAGCCGGCUUGAGAGAGUGUACGGCCACAUUGGGACUGAGACACGGCCCAGACUCCUACGGGAGGCAGCAGUGGGGAAUUUUGCACAAUGGGGGAAACCCUGAUGCAGCGACGCCGCGUGAUUUAGAAGGCCUUCGGGUUGUAAAAAUCUUUUGUAUAGGAAGAAAAUGACAGUACUAUACGAAUAAGGUCCGGCUAAUUACGUG
Molecule: ribosomal RNA, 476 nt
Filed under: uncultured bacterium
Lineage: Bacteria
Description: partial 16S ribosomal RNA
Rfam family: Bacterial small subunit ribosomal RNA
Source: RNAcentral